Molecule: unclassified non-coding RNA, 353 nt
Filed under: soil metagenome
Description: partial contains 5.8S ribosomal RNA, internal transcribed spacer 2, and large subunit ribosomal RNA
Rfam family: 5.8S ribosomal RNA (bases 1-120)
Source: RNAcentral
GAUGAAGAACGUAGCGAAAUGCGAUAAGUAAUGUGAAUUGCAGAAUUCAGUGAAUCAUCGAAUCUUUGAACGCACAUUGCGCCCGCCAGUAUUCUGGCGGGCAUGCCUGUUCGAGCGUCAUUACAACCCUCAGGCCCCCGGGCCUGGCGUUGGGGAUCGGCGGAAGCCCCCUGCGGGCACAACGCCGUCCCCCAAAUACAGUGGCGGUCCCGCCGCAGCUUCCAUUGCGUAGUAGCUAACACCUCGCAACUGGAGAGCGGCGCGGCCACGCCGUAAAAUACCCAACUUCUGAAUGUUGACCUCGAAUCAGGUAGGAAUACCCGCUGAACUUAAGCAUAUCAAUAAGCGGAGGA